GUCUCGCGAGAGAAGCGGCGGCUGGGCCCUGCAGGCGGAGGAAGUGGAAAAAGUCGCGGGAGGGUAGGGGACCGCGGAACUUCUGGUUGCUAUGACGACGGCAAAGCCCUGGAUUCCUGUCUCCUGCGGAGAGCAGAGGCUGCAAACGCAUCCGCAGACGCCUUUAUACGUACUCCAAAAUGCUAGUAAGGAUGAAGAUGAACUCUCCUCAGCCCGUGUCUUUUAACUGUAGAAACUUUUCUGAGAAAUGAAAAGAGGCUUGCUCAUGACUUGGAAGCGGUGGGCUGAGGCCUCCCAAGACCAUCUGGCUUGUUCCAUUGCCAGCCAGAGUGGAGGCGACAUUCACACGAACCCAGGAGCUGCAGGGGCGCGUGAGCUACAGCUGCCUUGUGGCAUCCAAGGAGUGCGCAGUGAGAUUCCGCAGGAGAAAUCACGCUUUGCAUGUUCUUGAGUACAAGAAACAUGUGUAAUGAGGGUUUUUGUUUGCGGGCAUGCCAAGGAGAACGACUGGAAUAUUAAAGUCAUCACAGCCUUUAUUUAAGGGAGAAGAGGACAAGCAUGAAUAUGCUGAUAGUUCAGAGAUAUUUAGGACCUUCAGCAGCUCAGCACUCAUCCUAGAUUUAU
This 624-nucleotide long non-coding RNA is filed under the name Homo sapiens (human). RNAcentral describes it as "non-protein coding lnc-MAP3K9-3:6". The record is from RNAcentral. Lineage: Eukaryota; Metazoa; Chordata; Mammalia; Primates; Hominidae.